AGUGAACGCUGGCGGUAGGCCUAACACAUGCAAGUCGAACGGCAGCACAGUAAGAGCUUGCUCUUACGGGUGGCGAGUGGCGGACGGGUGCGGAAUACAUCGGAAUCUACUUUUUCGUGGGGGAUAACGUAGGGAAACUUACGCUAAUACCGCAUACGACCUACGGGUGAAAGCAGGGGAUCUUCGGCCCUUGCGCGAUUGAAUGAGCCGAUGCCGGAUUAGCUAGUUGGCGGGGUAAAGGCCCACCAAGGCGACGAUCCGUAGCUGGUCUGAGAGGAUGAUCAGCCACACUGGAACUGAGACACGGUCCAGACUCCUACGGGAGGCAGCAGUGGGGAAUAUUGGACAAUGGGCGCAAGCCUGAUCCAGCCAUACCGCGUGUGUGAAGAAGGCCUUCGGGUUGUAAAGCCCUUUUGUUGGGAAAGAAAAGCAGCAGGUUAAUACCCCGCUGUUCUGACGGUACCCAAAGAAUAAGCACCGGCUAACUUCGUG
Molecule: ribosomal RNA, 492 nt
Filed under: uncultured bacterium
Lineage: Bacteria
Description: partial 16S ribosomal RNA
Rfam family: Bacterial small subunit ribosomal RNA
Source: RNAcentral